Molecule: long non-coding RNA, 2381 nt
Organism: Acanthopagrus latus (yellowfin seabream)
Lineage: Eukaryota; Metazoa; Chordata; Actinopteri; Spariformes; Sparidae
Exons: 3
Source: RefSeq, a predicted model, not a curated record
UUGUUUUCUGUUUCUGUAUGCUCUUGUCCAUGCUCUUCCCGAAUGCUCACCUUGCAAAGUCGUUCCACUUGGACACUGACUGAGAUUCUACACACAGCAAAUGUAUGAUGGCCUCUAAGAGAGCAGCACAGAUGGAAAAUAUCACCUCAAUCAGAGCACUGGAAAUUGUGUCUGCUUAGUUGACAGUCUGUGGCAAGACGGUCAUUUAGGAUUUAGGCAAACUGCUCUGAGAAGUGAAACUGAGGAGGUUUCCUACGAGGGAGGAAAGUUGACAUCCUCAGAGGAAAUAGCUUGACCUAAUACGCACAGUCAGAUGCACAGUCACACAUUUAUAUGCAUGGAUAUGGGUGUCUCAGGCAGGAUAGAGUGUUUGAGAACAAGAGAGACUGGUGACCAAACCUGAUUCAUCCAUCAUCAGACCAUCUGUAUCCAGUGACAGCCUGUCAAGAGAAGGCAUGUGCGGCGCCCCACUGGCCACAACAACCUUAAGUCAACAACCUUGAUUAUCAUUACCUCCACCUAGACAGUUUUGUUCUCAGCCCUGUCUGUUUGUUGGUGGUUUGGUUUGUCAGCAGGACUACAAUUUCAUGUAGCUAUGGAUGGUUUAGAACCCAACCAACCCUAACCUUAAUGCAGGGCUAUCAAGUUUAAAGCCUGUCCUCACCAGGAAAACUACCGUACAGGUGGAAAAUGCAAGCAACUGAUUAUGACCAAUAUUUAUGUAUGUUGUUGGAUGGCUUCUUCUACUGGCUGUAGUCAUCAUUACAGCUUGAGGAGAAAGUAGUGUAAAGAGUGAAAAAUGUGUACAGAAAGGGGAAAAAGUGAUAGAUGGUGGGGUUAAAUGAGCACAGAACUUUCAUCCAGAUCACUGUUGAUGUCCAAUAUCCAGAGAAGUUAAGUGAGUUCUUUUGGCUUACCUACAUAAUGAAGUUACAUGACCUACUGUAUGUAGAGCAGGUAACAUAGUUAGGCUGCAUAGUAACUAUCUAGCAUAUUUAAGUAUAUACCAAUGUUGUACUCUAAACUGAUUUUCAUAAUAGCACUUUAAAAUGAUGGUACUUUAUUGCACUUUUUAGAGAAGUUAAAAUUAUGUGCAACUUCUACAGUGUACACUUGAACUUUGUUUUCAACAUAUUUGUUGAACAUUUUAAAAUGAGUGCUUUAAAGGGUCAUUUUAACAAUACACUAAAAGCAUAUCUUAAAAAUACACAUUUCAAUAUCCUAAAGUGAAUGCAUUAGUAUGAGUCAUUAGUAUACUUAUGUUCAUGUCAUUCAUAAUACACUAGCAGUAUGAUAACCUCUGUUAACUGUUAUGCCUUCGGCAUGAAACAGAUUUUCACAGUUUUCACUAAUCAAAGCAGCAGUUGUGUGCUAGUCGUGCUUGGAUGCCAGUGUAGGCAUGCUAUUUGUAAAGAGUCAGUUAAGUCAUGUUUGUUCCAAAUUCCAUGGUUCCACAGUUGUCCCUUACAGUGCUGGGAAAUUGGACACCUAUACAGUGACUGAAUGAUGGAAUACUAUGCUGGCUCUCAUGCCUGUGGAAAAGCAAAUCAGUUCUUAACUGGACUUUAUCAUUGCUUCUGUUACUUAACAAAGUAUAAUUAAAAUGUAAUCAGUCACAGUUUGUAACUGUCAGUUACAAUGUUUGAUUAACCUCCCUUUUUCAAAUAGUUCUCUGUGGUUGAUCACACAAGCCACAAGUUCCAACAGUCUCUUUUUGGGGGGCCAAGAUUUUAAUCAUAUACUAACCACACCUUUUAUAGUUUUUAGAAAAAGAUACUUUUGGCUAACAUAUAAAGCUAAUGGAGGCUGGCAUUGGGUGUGACAGAAAGGUCAACCAACGAGAAGGGCCAGAGACAAAUCAGGCAAUGCCAUCCAUCAUUAGAAUUUGCCUCAGGGACAAGUGUUUAAGAAAUAGGUGGAGGUGAAGAAAGACAAUUAUUUCACAAUUUAAGGUACAUUCUAAUACUUUUUCCCUGCAUAACAAUACAAUAAGUGCUUGUUUUUACCCUUUCACCCACUAGUAACUUACAGUUUUGGCCCUCCAAGGUGAAAUGUCUGGUGCCAUUCCAGCCCUGGAAUACACUCUAAUUCAACACACAAGCUUCCUCCUGAAUGUGUCUCCAUCUAGUCUCUAAGUAUUCUUGAAGUAAAUAGGUUUAAAAAAGAGAACAUAGAAAAGUAUCUGGAGCAAAUGAAACAAUGGGAUUCACAGGUAACUGACAGUAGUAGACAAUUUUAAGAAACAAAGAAUAUAUUGUGUUGCUUUUAGCUUCUCCCUGUUUCACUCAGCUGCAGUAGAUACACUUACACAGCUAUCCACCAACACAACAUUAACUGUUGUUUUGCGCAUUGUGAUCAUGACAUAAAAAAGUUGAAUGGCA